UACGGAGGGUGCAAGCGUUGCUCGGAAUCACUGGGCGUAAAGGGCGCGUAGGCGGCCCUCUAAGUCGAACGUGAAAUCCCCGGGCUCAACCCGGGAACUGCGUCCGAUACUGGAAGGCUUGAAUCCGGGAGAGGGAUGCGGAAUUCCAGGUGUAGCGGUGAAAUGCGUAGAUAUCUGGAGGAACACCGGUGGCGAAGGCGGCAUCCUGGACCGGCAUUGACGCUGAGGCGCGAAAGCCAGGGGAGCAAACGGG
Molecule: ribosomal RNA, 253 nt
Filed under: uncultured bacterium
Lineage: Bacteria
Description: partial 16S ribosomal RNA
Rfam family: Bacterial small subunit ribosomal RNA
Source: RNAcentral